UACGAAGGGGGCUAGCGUUGCUCGGAAUCACUGGGCGUAAAGCGCACGUAGGCGGCUUUUUAAGUCAGGGGUGAAAUCCUGGAGCUCAACUCCAGAACUGCCUUUGAUACUGGGAAGCUUGAGUCCGGGAGAGGUGAGUGGAACUCCGAGUGUAGAGGUGAAAUUCGUAGAUAUUCGGAAGAACACCAGUGGCGAAGGCGGCUCACUGGCCCGGUACUGACGCUCAGGUGCGCAAGCGUGGGGAGCAAACAGG
This 253-nucleotide ribosomal RNA is filed under the name uncultured bacterium. RNAcentral describes it as "partial 16S ribosomal RNA". It matches the Rfam family "Bacterial small subunit ribosomal RNA", at positions 524 to 776 of the family's 1533-position model. The record is from RNAcentral.